AAAGUUAUAGGUUAAAUGUAAAAAACCAUUGGCCUUCAAAGCCAGCAAUGAGGUAUUCUAACUUUG
Molecule: transfer RNA, 66 nt
Filed under: Tritonia iocasica
Lineage: Eukaryota; Metazoa; Mollusca; Gastropoda; Nudibranchia; Tritoniidae
Description: tRNA-Trp
Rfam family: tRNA
About the family: Transfer RNA (tRNA) molecules are approximately 80 nucleotides in length. Their secondary structure includes four short double-helical elements and three loops (D, anti-codon, and T loops).
Source: RNAcentral